AGCUAAUAUGGAAUGGACAUGAGCAAGCACUCGAAGAAGAAAAACUCAUCUCUACAGGAGACAACGAAACCAAGCAAUCUGAUGUCUGUGAUGGGUCCUGGCCAGUAAAAGCUGGAAAGGAGACUGAGGUGAACCUGAAAGUGUUGUCAGAAGAAAAAACAUUAAACUCGAGGAUGAAAAUUCAUCAAUGAAACUUCCUGAGAAGGGAAACAGGAAUGAACAACUUGGAGAAGAAUUUGGACUCUGAAGCUCUGGAUGAGUGAUUUUGCUUUGAUGUAGCUAGGAUGCCAAAGUAUCAAUUUAUGGCUUGAUAGAUUUCACUGGAAGUUUAUCAUCAUCUCCCUCUGAGCUAUUUGACAGCAAUAGGUAGGGUGCAGCUGGCACCAUAAAGAGGUGUGUCACCCAGCUGAGCCCUUAAUCAACAACACUGUUGAAAAUUUAGUGUUUCAUCUUGACCAGAUGUUUUUAAUAUAGCUUUGGUUUGUGUAUUACGGCACUAUUCUCACCUUAGUAACGAGCUAUCCGACUUUUAUUGCCAACAAGCUACAAAGUACUCCUCAUCUCCAGUUCCAGCCUCUAACCCUUGAUAUGAGUGAUUUCUUCUGGGAAUAGGUAGGAGAACUGAUAUUUAUCAACACUGAUACAAUCCUUAGACACUUGGGCAGCUCUGAAGUUUCUGGGAUUUUUGUUUUUUGAAUAGGUCCACGGUUACUAUUCUAAUUGUUGAUAGAUAACUGGAGAUAUUUUAAAAUCUAGAUAAACAAAGUGCAUAGAAACAAUUAAAAAAGUCUAUCCAAGGCUCUAGACACCCUAACAUCACAAUAAAUCCCAGCAGCAUUAUAGAAUCACUUUACAGAAGUGACUCCCUUUCACACUUACAGAAACUCCUUUCUACCCCCUUCAUCAUUAUGGGAAGCAUGCUCUCAGCCCUCUCCAAAAACCCAGUCGAACAGAUGGCUUUUACACCAUGCCUAAAAGAGCACCAAAUUUGGGGUAUUUUGGACUAAGGGUGGAAGCAAGCUCCUGAGUCUCAGGGCCUUCACAGAGAGCGACCUGCCAUCCAUCCCAUCUCUUAGAUAAUGAGGGGGGAUUCAGAUUCUCCCUACUGACUGCAGCUGUGGCAAUAUGGAAUGAGGAGAGAGGUGACUCCUCAGGUAGACCAGUUCUAAGCCAUUUAGGCUUUUAUCGUUCAUAACUAAUAACUUAGACUCCACUUGGAGAUCAGUAAUUCACCCUACUGUUUGUAAAGACAGAUUUCUUAAAGCUGACAAACACAAUUGCCAAUAAAGAAUAAUCUAAAUGUACCUGAUAUCUGAGAGCCCUCUCUCAGAUCUUACCAUUUCAUGCAAUGCCACAUACCUGGCAAAAUCUUCUACUGUACUGGGGCAUGAGUGUUCAGGACAGCAUCAAUUUUUCUCCCUAAUAUGCUGUGAUAGGCAUGGUGCAGCUGAGAUUAGAUUUCUGCCCCAGCAAUUUAUGCUUGGGGAAACCGAUUAACCAAUUACUGCUUCCUGCGAUGGCUCCCAUUCCAAUUUCAUUUUAUUCAUCUAAAAGAAACAACUUUUACUUUUUGGCAUCAUCAUAUUAAUAAUGAAUGUGUGAAGUGGGAGUCUAAUUUUAUUAAGCAUCUUGUUUUAUUUUUAAAAAACAUGUCUUGUUAUUUUAACUUUGGCCGGGAGGUCAUGAUGGCUCCCUGGAGCUAACCAAUUAAUAAUCAUUGUCAACUGCAUUUUACAUUUUAAUUUGGCUUUGUUCGACUAGCCUAGACUCUUCCCUGCAGCUAGGAAACUGCUCUCCACUAUAUUUUCAAUGUUUGGGUUUUGGCUGAGAAGUCUUCACACUUCCCAGGAGCCAGAGAGAAUUGUUCAUUCUUUAAAAGUUUGUCUCAUCUUUUGUGACAAAAAGAUAUGAAAUCAUGCAUAAAUCCCAUUGUGUUUCUCUCAUGUCAAGAGCAAAACUAAUUUGAGUGGAGAAAGGUGGGUGGGGAUAAAAGGUGUGUGCUAGAAUAAAUAGAAAACAAUCUGGUCUACAAUACCUGACCUGCGAAAAACCUUCACGACCAAAGGUGUGGAGGGCCUGUAGUGUAUCAACUCUGGAGACUAAGAUGUAACAGUUGUGCUCCAUGCAUCUUGAAUAGGCAUCAUAAAUAAAAACCCGAAUGAGAUCUCAUGUGAAUGAAAUUGGACUGAUCUAUAAAAUCUAGCAUCAAGGAAUAAUAACCAAUAGCUAGGAUAUUUUGGUAGGUUUUGCAUAUGACAUCAAUCUGUAAUGUUAACUGACUUUAAGCAUUUUCCUGAGUUAUAGUGAUGAUAAUAAUGCACUGAUAAUAAUGCUUGUUAUCUUGGAGAAGGGUAUUCCAGUCAGUUUUAUUACUCUGUUUUUAUAGUGACUUGAAAAAAGGAAAGUAUCCGAUGUUUUCUUCAUGUUGUCUGACUAGACACAGGUGAUCCUAUGAGGUGCUCAGCACCCACAACUUCAAUGGGAAUUGAGGUGCCCAGUAAUUUGCAGGAUCAGUCCUAAUCUAGGUUGGCCUCAUGCUGCAUAUUUCUUCCGUUUCUGCACCUCUCUCUGAGCUCUUGCAUGUUUAAUAAAGGUCUUUUCACUUUUUCAAUUAAAAAAAAUCAUUUGGCGCAGCAGAGCUGGAUCCUGGGUCUCCCACCUCCCAUCUGAGUGCUCCA
Long non-coding RNA from Chrysemys picta bellii (western painted turtle), 2678 nucleotides. RefSeq lists it as uncharacterized. Lineage: Eukaryota; Metazoa; Chordata; Testudines; Emydidae. The record is from RefSeq and is a predicted model, not a curated record.